RNAcentral lists this ribosomal RNA (493 nucleotides) under uncultured bacterium. Its description in RNAcentral is "partial 16S ribosomal RNA". It matches the Rfam family "Bacterial small subunit ribosomal RNA", at positions 28 to 506 of the family's 1533-position model. The record is from RNAcentral.
GACGAACGCUGGCGGCGCGCUUAACACAUGCAAGUCGAACGGAAAGGCCUGCUUUCCCUUGUGGAUUGCGGGUACUCGAGUGGCGAACGGGUGAGUAACACGUGAGUGAUCUGCCCCCAACUUGGGUAUAAGCCUGGGAAACUGGGUCUAAUUCCCGAUAGGACUGCAGGGUGGUGCCUGUGGUGGAAAACGAUUUUCUAGUGGUUGGGGAUGAGCUCGCGGCCUAUCAGCUUGUUGGUGGGGUAAUGGCCUACCAAGGCGGCGACGGGUAGCCGGCCUGAGAGGGUGGACGGCCACAUUGGGACUGAGAUACGGCCCAGACUCCUACGGGAGGCAGCAGUGGGGAAUAUUGCACAAUGGGCGGAAGCCGGAUGCAGCGACGCCGCGUGGGGGAUGACGGCCUUCGGGUUGUAAACUCCUUUCGACCGCGAGGAAGCCACCUGGUUGGAAGGGUGGUGACGGUAGUGGUAGAAGAAACACCGGCGAACUACGU